RNAcentral lists this ribosomal RNA (379 nucleotides) under uncultured eukaryote. Its description in RNAcentral is "partial 18S ribosomal RNA". It matches the Rfam family "Eukaryotic small subunit ribosomal RNA", at positions 592 to 976 of the family's 1831-position model. The record is from RNAcentral.
CAAUAGCGUAUAUUUAAGUUGUUGCAGUUAAAAAGCUCGUAGUUGGAUUUCGGAUGGGAUUUGCCGGUCCGUCGUUACGAUGUGCACUGGCCAGUCCUAUCUUGUUGUCGGGGACUAGCUCCUUGGAUUAACUUCCUGGGACUAGGAGCUGACGAGGUUACUUUGAGUAAAUUAGAGUGUUCAAAGCAAGCCUUCGCUCUGAAUACAUUAGCAUGGAAUAACACGAUAGGACUCUGGCUUAUCUUGUUGGUCUGUGAGACCAGAGUAAUGAUUAAGAGGGACAGUCGGGGACAUUCGUAUUUCAUUGUCAGAGGUGAAAUUCUUGGAUUUAUGAAAGACGAACUACUGCGAAAGCAUUUGCCAAGGAUGUUUUCAUUAA